RNAcentral lists this ribosomal RNA (431 nucleotides) under Gammarus desperatus (Bitter Lakes amphipod). RNAcentral's name for it is "partial 16S ribosomal RNA". It matches the Rfam family "Bacterial large subunit ribosomal RNA", at positions 1935 to 2620 of the family's 2925-position model. The record is from RNAcentral. Lineage: Eukaryota; Metazoa; Arthropoda; Malacostraca; Amphipoda; Gammaridae.
GGUAUUUUGACCGUGCUAAGGUAGCANAAUCACUUGUUUUUNAAUUGAUAACUGGAAUGAAAGGUUGCUCUUAUUUUAAUUUUUGUAAAACUNAAAUAAUAAAUNAAAGUNAGGGUAAGAAUUCUUUAAUUUUCNAGGGGACGAUAAGACCCNAGAAGCUUAAUAUAGAGUUGUACUUANAGAAAAAGUUGAUUAUUUAUUUUACUGGGGCGGUAGGAGUAAACUUACUAUUUGCUNAAAAAAGAUCUUUAAAAUUAAGANAAUUGGGAUUAGUUACUCUAGGGAUAACAGUGCAAUUUUUUNAGAAAGACCUUAUUGAUGAANAAGUUUGCAACCUCGAUGUUGAAUUAAGAUGUCUAAGUGAGGUAAAAGUUACUAAAGAUAGGUUUGUUCAACCUUUAAAGUCUUACAUGAUCNGAGUUCAAACCGGA